UUAUGUAAUAUUUAAAAGAAAUAUAUUAGCAUUAAAAUGUGCAAUGAAAUUACUAAUUGAUAUAUGUGUUGUUUUUUUUUUUCCUAGAAUUUUUCUUUGCAGUACAUGUAGAAAUUUUCCAUUCUCAGUCAGAACAAAGAUGAAACUUGCAAUCACAAAAAUCUGCUUUGAAUUUUUCUUCUCAUCCUCCAUUCUUAAGAAUUAAUCCUCAUACAGGAAUUAUUGAAGCACUAAAGAGGAACUGUUGUCUGGUAUUGAAUGCAAGGAAUGAAGGUAAGGUCAAAUUUACUGUGAACUUUCUAUACAAAGUGAUUCCUGCCUCACUACUGGCUAAAAUGUGGCUCUGCGUGUCUCUAAUAUUUUGCUUCACUGCACAAUACUGUAAUUAAACAAAAGAGGCCAUGAGGGGCCUGUUUUACAGAUAACCCAGCAUGGAAGUGACAGGUUUAUCUCAUCUUAGGAGUACUGUGAUGCCAGAGAGUCCUGAGAAAGUGACUUGUUGGACCUAUGAAAAAAGACUGAGAGAGCUGGGGAUAUUCAGCCUGGAGUAGAGAAGGUCCUGGGGAGACCUUACAACAGCCUUUCAGUGCUUAAGGGAAGCUUAUAAAAAAGAUGGAGAGUGACUUUACCGUGGCCGAUAGUGAUAAGACAAGGGAGAAUGUUUUUUAAAUAGAAGAGGGUAUAUUUAGAUUAAAUAUCAGGAGGAAAUUCUUUACUCAGAGGGUGGUGAGGCACUGGAACGGGCUGCCCAGAGAGGCUGUGGAUGCCCCAUCUCUGGAGGUGUUCAAGGCCAGGCUGGAUGGGGCAUUGGGCAACCUGGUCUAGUGGGUGGCAUUCCUGCCUGC
Molecule: long non-coding RNA, 845 nt
Filed under: Anas platyrhynchos platyrhynchos (common mallard)
Lineage: Eukaryota; Metazoa; Chordata; Aves; Anseriformes; Anatidae
Description: lncRNA (ENSAPLG00000022918.1)
Source: RNAcentral